Molecule: unclassified non-coding RNA, 262 nt
Filed under: plant metagenome
Description: partial contains small subunit ribosomal RNA, internal transcribed spacer 1, and 5.8S ribosomal RNA
Source: RNAcentral
UCUCCGUUGGUGAACCAGCGGAGGGAUCAUUACCGAGUUUACAACUCCCAAACCCCUAUGUGAACGUUACCAAACUGUUGCCUCGGCGGGAAAUUCAUGCCCCGGGCGCGUCGCAGCCCCGGACCAAGGCGCCCGCCGGAGGACCAACCAAAACUCUUUUGUAUGUCCCUCGCGGACUUUUAUAAUUCUGAACCAUCUCGGCGCCCCUAGCGGGCGUUUCGAAAAUGAAUCAAAACUUUCAACAACGGAUCUCCUGGUUCUG